UCGGGAAUUUUGGGGCAAUGGGCGAAAGCCUGACCCAGCAACGCCGCGUGAAGGAUGAAGUAUUUCGGUAUGUAAACUUCGAAAGAAUAGGAAGAAUAAAUGACGGUACUAUUUAUAAGGUCCGGCUAACUACGUGCCAGCAGCCGCGGUAAUACGUAGGGACCAAGCGUUGUUCGGAUUUACUGGGCGUAAAGGGCGCGUAGGCGGCAAUUCAAGUCAUCUGUGAAAUCUCCGGGCUUAACUCGGAACGGUCAGAUGAUACUGCUUUGCUAGAGUGCAGAAGGGGCAAUCGGAAUUCUUGGUGUAGCGGUGAAAUGCGUAGAUAUCAAGAGGAACACCUGAGGUGAAGACGGGUUGCUGGGCUGACACUGACGCUGAGGCGCGAAAGCCAGGGGAGCAAACGGGAUUAGAUACCCUGGUAGUCCCUGAGCGGGCUGGCAAGGCGCAU
Molecule: ribosomal RNA, 448 nt
Filed under: uncultured bacterium
Lineage: Bacteria
Description: bacterial SSU rRNA
Rfam family: Bacterial small subunit ribosomal RNA
Source: RNAcentral